GUAGGUGACAAGCGUUAUCCGGAUUUACUGGGCGUAAAGGGCGUGUAGGCGGUCUUGCAAGUCAGAAGUGAAAUUCCUGAGCUCAACUCGGGCGCUGCUUCUGAAACUGCAGGACUUGAGUGCUGGAGGGGAUAGCGGAAUUCCUAGUGGAGCGGUAAAAUGCGCAGAUAUUAGGAAGAACACCGGUGGCGAAGGCGGCUAUCUGGACAGUAACUGACGCUGAGGCGCGAAAGCGUGGAGAGCAAACAGGAUCAGAUACCCUGGUAAUCCACGCCGUAAACGAUGAAUACUAGGUGUAGGGGGUAUCGACUCCCUCUGUGCCGCAGUUAACACAAUAAGUAUUCCGCCUGGGGAGUACGGCCGCAAGGUUG
This 371-nucleotide ribosomal RNA is filed under the name uncultured rumen bacterium. Its description in RNAcentral is "bacterial SSU rRNA". It matches the Rfam family "Bacterial small subunit ribosomal RNA", at positions 527 to 896 of the family's 1533-position model. The record is from RNAcentral.